CCUGAACUUUGCGAUUAAAAAUUAGUUCUUAUAUCAUCAAAUUGUUGCACACCACGAAUUUGUUAUCUCCAUCAAUUCCGUAGAGCAAGUGGUAAAGAAUUUGGUGGUUGAUAUCCGAUGUUCCAAGUUCGAAUUCUAGUUGAUUCACAUUUCCAGCUAAGUUUAUUUCUAUACAAAAUAAACGAAGCGGGUAGCGUGUUGUCUAUCUCUCAAAAAAAAAAAAAAAAAAAAAAAAAA
This 237-nucleotide long non-coding RNA is filed under the name Ananas comosus (pineapple). RNAcentral's name for it is "long non-coding RNA (ACOM_LNC029849)". The record is from RNAcentral. Lineage: Eukaryota; Viridiplantae; Streptophyta; Magnoliopsida; Poales; Bromeliaceae.